AAGCAUAUGGCUCGGCUGCAGGAACUCAAUGACCGGGCCAUUGCUACUUCAAUCGCUAAGGUUGAGAGCGCUCCAACUGUUAAUGAAACGCCAAAAGAUGUUGAAAAAACUGAAGUGGCCGAUGAUGUGGGUGCAACUGUCAAUAGAAUUAACCCCAAGGAACAAGAAUAAGCGUUCACCACAGGGGAUAACUGAGUUAAUGAUGUGGGUGCAACUGUCAAUAGAAUUAACCCCAAGGAACAAGAAACGUUCACCACAGGUGAUAACCGAGUGUAGUCAUGUUCAGUAUUAUCUAAUUUAUGUUGAAAUGUAAAGGUUGGAAGAAGGUGAACUGUGGCAGCUUGUCAACCAACUGUGAUUUGAACUCUUAACUAAUCUUACAUUGUUAUAUACGUGAGUAGUCUCAUUUACUUUUGUUGGUUUAGUUAUUUCAUUGAUUUUAAAGUGACUCAUAUGCGUUUGAAAUGGUGUUUGGUUGGAAAAUAUAUUGGAAAACUGAUAUUAUAUAAGUCAC
This 514-nucleotide long non-coding RNA is filed under the name Nicotiana benthamiana. RNAcentral describes it as "long non-coding RNA (NBEN_LNC028444)". Lineage: Eukaryota; Viridiplantae; Streptophyta; Magnoliopsida; Solanales; Solanaceae. The record is from RNAcentral.